AAACCCCAUUUUGGGGUUGUCAGUGUCCUCACUUAGUCAUUGAUGUGACAUGCUUACCUCAUACUCAAUUUGAGUUUUGCAGAACUCCCACACAUUGUGUGCCCACAGGGAUUCUGUGCUUAUGGGGCAACAAGAAUGCUAUGUGUGAGUGGAACAAGUAAAGAAUGGCAGCAGCUAUGCAUGUUAUCUGUAUUUCCUCUGUUCAUGCACAUGCUCCAUUGUCCCAUCAGCCUUCAUUUACAAAACAAAAGUUCAAAGAUAAAAUUAUUAGGAAUUUCAUUACGGUGACAACAGAGCAUUAAAUGAAGUGCCAGGCCUCAAGCACCAAGCCCUUCCCAGCAUGGGUUGUAUGCAGCUGUCCAGAUCACAUGCCCAUGAAGCUGGCCAUGGGGAAAAAACUUGAUCCUUUAUUGUGGUAGAAGCAUAGGGCAUGUUGGAGAUGCAGUAGACAUGCUGGCAUGGCUGGUUAUAGCAAGGAGUACAUAACAUAGCUAACAUGUAUUAGACAUGUAUUAUGUUUUACGUACUGUCCUAAAUAUUUCAUACAUCUUUUAAAGUUUGCCAGAGGACCCUGUGAAACAGUAUUAUUAUGUACUUCAUUUUCCAGAUGUUAAAAAUUAGGAAGAUCAAAUAAUCUGCUCAAGCUCAGGCCUGGGUACUGGGUGACAGAGGGUAUACUCUUAACCAGCUCAUCAUGCUACCUGCAUGCAACACAAGGAGUUAUUGGAUAGGCACAUGAGGCUGGAAAAGGUAGAAGAUUCUGAGGCCCUGGGCGGGAACUAGUAAGCCACAAUCUGGAAGAGUCUUUUACCACCAUGUGGAGGAGAACUAGAGCACUCAUGUUGAACUAUUACCGAGAAAAGUAAUCAACUUCUUUUGUGUUAAGUCACUGAAAGGCAAGUGUUGAUUUGUUGCAGUAAUUGGUGCUCCCUUAACACACCUGUCAGCCGGGCCAAACUCUAUCACAGCAUAAAUAAUCUUUUCCUUAAAUAAAUACAGGUAAAAGAAUAAAGUAGACCUAAAUGCAUUAAUAUGAAUAUAGGCUCAAAGCAAAAUGUUGGGCUAUAAAUGUUCAGAGUGAUAAUUUUUUAAGUUGAUGUGUAAUUUAGUACAGUAAAAUAGAUAAAACCUAAAUGUUCAGUUCAAUGAAUUUUUACAUGUUCAUGCCCCUGUAUAAUCACCUCCCAGAACAACAUAGAAAAUACUUCAUAUAAAUGGAAUCAUACAGUGUGUUUUCUCUUGUGUCUGGUUUCUUUCACUCAAUGUUUUUGAGGUGAAUCCACAUUAUUGUGUGGAUUAGAAAGUUGUUCUCUUAAAAUUUCUGUUUGACAUUACGUUAUAUGAAUAUGCCACAAUUUGUUUAUUCAUUCUCCAAUUGAUGGACAUUUGGGUUGUUUCCAAUUUGGGACUAUGACAAAUGAAGCAGCUAUGAACAUUCUUGAACAAUUAUUUUUGUGGUACACGCACUCAUAUCUCCUGGGCAUAUGCAUAGGAGUGAAAUUGAUGGUCAUAUAUUUAUCUGAGUUAUUCUAUUAAAGCUCAAAAUGAUCAAUAUUCAAAA
This 1561-nucleotide long non-coding RNA is filed under the name Homo sapiens (human). RNAcentral describes it as "PREDICTED lncRNA (TCONS_00183083)". Lineage: Eukaryota; Metazoa; Chordata; Mammalia; Primates; Hominidae. The record is from RNAcentral.